This is a long non-coding RNA of Amphiprion ocellaris (clown anemonefish), 878 nucleotides long. Lineage: Eukaryota; Metazoa; Chordata; Actinopteri; Pomacentridae. The record is from Ensembl.
AAAUUUACAUCAUUAUUAUAAUAUUUAGGGCCAGACCCCUGACAUGAGGAAAAAGACUUUAUUGAAGACUACAAUGAGAAAAACUAGCAGACGGCUGCAUUCAAGGUGAGCUCUGAACAUUUGAUCUGGAACAGGAAUUCAAUAACAGCAGCAUGAGCUUCAUUUCAGUCUGUAGCUGCUGAAUUCAUGGAUGAAUCAUCUGGCACUAGAGAGGAAGACCAUCAAACAUCCACGUCAGCUGAUGGAGGUCCAAGAGUCUCACCCAACAAACAACCUACAGAGUGAAGACCUCUAACCUGAUUGGACGGCCUCCUAUUCAGCCACGUGUCAACAAAUGCCUCUAAGCUGAUUUGUUUUCUAAAAUAAAUCUAGUUUGAGUCCUAAUCUAUGCCUGUGUGUUUGCGUCUUUACACGGCUGUUAACAGUUUAGGCUGUUAGAUUGUUCCAGAUAAGACAAGUACAAGAUUCUUCAGAGCCGUUCUACCACGAGCCUGACAGGAAGAACUCCAACAGCUACUGAAUGUUCCUGUGGUCCCCUCAAGGCUACAGGAGGAGCCCUAUGAGGACGAGCCGGUCCACCUGAUGGCAGCCAGUCGCUGCGGUUCAAAGCCAACACCGACUACGUGGACUUCUACUGGACCACAUGGAGACCUUCAGACCAGACCAACAAGAUCACCGACUCCCCAACAUUUUCCAAGUGACCACAUGGGUGGAGCCAAGGCGGAGUCUGGGUGGAGUCAGGGCGGAGAGUAGGCGGGGAGGUGGGUGGCGGCCUCCCCCCUCUACUCCCCCACCACCCACCACACCUUCCCCCACCCGACGAGUUCCUCGAGUCUCCACGAGUUCUUCGAGUCUCGACAGGUUUUCCCGAGUUUCUG